ACGUAGGGUGCGAGCGUUAAUCGGAAUUACUGGGCGUAAAGCGAGCGCAGGCGGUUGUGUAAGACAGAUGUGAAAUCCCCGGGCUCAACCUGGGAACUGCAUUUGUGACUGCAUGGCUAGAGUGCGUCAGAGGGGGGUGGAACUCCACGUGUAGCAGUGAAAUGCGUAGAGAUGUGGAAGAACACCGAUGGCGAAGGCAGCCCCCUGGGAUGACACUGACGCUCAGGCUCGAAAGCGUGGGGAGCAAACAG
RNAcentral lists this ribosomal RNA (251 nucleotides) under uncultured prokaryote. RNAcentral describes it as "partial 16S ribosomal RNA". It matches the Rfam family "Bacterial small subunit ribosomal RNA", at positions 525 to 775 of the family's 1533-position model. The record is from RNAcentral.